This 245-nucleotide long non-coding RNA is filed under the name Homo sapiens (human). RNAcentral's name for it is "non-protein coding lnc-GPATCH2-8:1". The record is from RNAcentral. Lineage: Eukaryota; Metazoa; Chordata; Mammalia; Primates; Hominidae.
AUAUAUUUGUUUUAAGUUUUAAAAAUUUAAGGUUUGCAUCUCUCUCUUUCAUGUGUGAAAUACCCACAUAUCGCCUUCAGCAAGGCUCCAAGCUCUUCAUUGAAUUACACAACUCCCUACACAAAAGCAUCCAUUCAUUUCUCUGCCAUUGGAAAGCAGCCAACUGGGCAGUGGAUAAAGGUGAAAGUCACUGAUGUUACCCAAUAGUUUGAGGGGGGAAAAAACAAGUAGAAGUCUAGAUGCAA